CAGCACCUCAAGUGGUCAGGAUGAUUAUUGGGCCUAAAGCAUCCGUAGCCGGCGCUGUAAGUUUUCGGUUAAAUCUGUACGCUCAACGUACAGGCUGCCGGGAAUACUGCAGCGCUAGGGAGUGGGAGAGGUAGACGGUACUCGGUAGGAAGGGGUAAAAUCCUUUGAUCUAUUGAUGACCACCUGUGGAGAAGGCGGUCUACCAGAACACGUCCGACGGUGAGGGAUGAAAGCUGGGGGAGCAAACCGGAUUAGAUACCCGAGUAGUCC
RNAcentral lists this ribosomal RNA (270 nucleotides) under uncultured archaeon. RNAcentral's name for it is "partial 16S ribosomal RNA". It matches the Rfam family "Archaeal small subunit ribosomal RNA", at positions 477 to 747 of the family's 1478-position model. The record is from RNAcentral.